CCUACGGGUGGCAGCAGUGGGAAAUAUUGGACAAUGGGGGGAACCCUGAUCCAGCGACGCCGCGUGAGUGAAGAAGUAUUUCGGUAUGUAAAGCUCUAUCAGCAGGGAAGAAAGAAAUGACGGUACCUGACUAAGAAGCCCCGGCUAACUACGUGCCAGCAGCCGCCGUAAUACGGAGGGGGCAAGCGUUAUCCGGAUUUACUGGGUGUAAAGGGAGCGUAGACGGCGAUGCAAGUCUGAAGUGAAAGGCGGGGGCCCAACCCCCGGACUGCUAUGGAAACUGUAUGGCUGGAGUGCAGGAGAGGUAAGUGGAAUUCCUAGUGUAGCGGUGAAAUGCGUAGAUAUUAGGAGGAACACCAGUGGCGAAGGCGGCUUACUGGACUGUAACUGACGUUGAGGCUCGAAAGCGUGGGGAGCAAACAGGAUUAGAUACCCCGGUAGUC
Molecule: ribosomal RNA, 443 nt
Filed under: uncultured bacterium
Lineage: Bacteria
Description: partial 16S ribosomal RNA
Rfam family: Bacterial small subunit ribosomal RNA
Source: RNAcentral